RNAcentral lists this ribosomal RNA (1552 nucleotides) under Staphylococcus aureus. RNAcentral's name for it is "16S ribosomal RNA". It matches the Rfam family "Bacterial small subunit ribosomal RNA". The record is from RNAcentral. Lineage: Bacteria; Bacillati; Bacillota; Bacilli; Caryophanales; Staphylococcaceae.
UUUAUGGAGAGUUUGAUCCUGGCUCAGGAUGAACGCUGGCGGCGUGCCUAAUACAUGCAAGUCGAGCGAACGGACGAGAAGCUUGCUUCUCUGAUGUUAGCGGCGGACGGGUGAGUAACACGUGGAUAACCUACCUAUAAGACUGGGAUAACUUCGGGAAACCGGAGCUAAUACCGGAUAAUAUUUUGAACCGCAUGGUUCAAAAGUGAAAGACGGUCUUGCUGUCACUUAUAGAUGGAUCCGCGCUGCAUUAGCUAGUUGGUAAGGUAAUGGCUUACCAAGGCAACGAUGCAUAGCCGACCUGAGAGGGUGAUCGGCCACACUGGAACUGAGACACGGUCCAGACUCCUACGGGAGGCAGCAGUAGGGAAUCUUCCGCAAUGGGCGAAAGCCUGACGGAGCAACGCCGCGUGAGUGAUGAAGGUCUUCGGAUCGUAAAACUCUGUUAUUAGGGAAGAAGAUAUGUGUAAGUAACUGUGCACAUCUUGACGGUACCUAAUCAGAAAGCCACGGCUAACUACGUGCCAGCAGCCGCGGUAAUACGUAGGUGGCAAGCGUUAUCCGGAAUUAUUGGGCGUAAAGCGCGCGUAGGCGGUUUUUUAAGUCUGAUGUGAAAGCCCACGGCUCAACCGUGGAGGGUCAUUGGAAACUGGAAAACUUGAGUGCAGAAGAGGAAAGUGGAAUUCCAUGUGUAGCGGUGAAAUGCGCAGAGAUAUGGAGGAACACCAGUGGCGAAGGCGACUUUCUGGUCUGUAACUGACGCUGAUGUGCGAAAGCGUGGGGAUCAAACAGGAUUAGAUACCCUGGUAGUCCACGCCGUAAACGAUGAGUGCUAAGUGUUAGGGGGUUUCCGCCCCUUAGUGCUGCAGCUAACGCAUUAAGCACUCCGCCUGGGGAGUACGACCGCAAGGUUGAAACUCAAAGGAAUUGACGGGGACCCGCACAAGCGGUGGAGCAUGUGGUUUAAUUCGAAGCAACGCGAAGAACCUUACCAAAUCUUGACAUCCUUUGACAACUCUAGAGAUAGAGCCUUCCCCUUCGGGGGACAAAGUGACAGGUGGUGCAUGGUUGUCGUCAGCUCGUGUCGUGAGAUGUUGGGUUAAGUCCCGCAACGAGCGCAACCCUUAAGCUUAGUUGCCAUCAUUAAGUUGGGCACUCUAAGUUGACUGCCGGUGACAAACCGGAGGAAGGUGGGGAUGACGUCAAAUCAUCAUGCCCCUUAUGAUUUGGGCUACACACGUGCUACAAUGGACAAUACAAAGGGCAGCGAAACCGCGAGGUCAAGCAAAUCCCAUAAAGUUGUUCUCAGUUCGGAUUGUAGUCUGCAACUCGACUACAUGAAGCUGGAAUCGCUAGUAAUCGUAGAUCAGCAUGCUACGGUGAAUACGUUCCCGGGUCUUGUACACACCGCCCGUCACACCACGAGAGUUUGUAACACCCGAAGCCGGUGGAGUAACCUUUUAGGAGCUAGCCGUCGAAGGUGGGACAAAUGAUUGGGGUGAAGUCGUAACAAGGUAGCCGUAUCGGAAGGUGCGGCUGGAUCACCUCCUUU